RNAcentral lists this ribosomal RNA (449 nucleotides) under uncultured bacterium. RNAcentral's name for it is "partial 16S ribosomal RNA". It matches the Rfam family "Bacterial small subunit ribosomal RNA", at positions 29 to 523 of the family's 1533-position model. The record is from RNAcentral.
AAUGAACGCUGGCGGCAUGCCUAACACAUGCAAGUCGAACGAGACCUUCGGGUCUAGUGGCGCACGGGUGCGUAACGCGUGGGAAUCUGCCCUUGGGUUCGGAAUAACUCGCCGAAAGGCGUGCUAAUACCGGAUGAUGACGUAAGUCCAAAGAUUUAUCGCCCAAGGAUGAGCCCGCGUAGGAUUAGCUAGUUGGUGGGGUAAAGGCCCACCAAGGCGACGAUCCUUAGCUGGUCUGAGAGGAUGAUCAGCCACACUGGGACUGAGACACGGCCCAGACCCCUACGGGAGGCAGCAGUGGGGAAUAUUGGACAAUGGGCGAAAGCCUGAUCCAGCAAUGCCGCGUGAGUGAUGAAGGCCUUAGGGUUGUAAAGCUCUUUUACCCGGGAUGAUAAUGACAGUACCGGGAGAAUAAGCCCCGGCUAACUCCGUGCCAGCAGCCGCCGUAA